RNAcentral lists this transfer RNA (63 nucleotides) under Abrus yunshanensis. Its description in RNAcentral is "tRNA-Phe". The record is from RNAcentral. Lineage: Eukaryota; Metazoa; Arthropoda; Insecta; Hemiptera; Cicadellidae.
GUUUCUAUAGCUUAUAUUUAGAGCAUAUUAGUGAAGUUAAUAAGGAAAUUAUAUUUAGGAACA